This 44-nucleotide non-coding RNA is filed under the name Schistosoma margrebowiei. The record is from RNAcentral. Lineage: Eukaryota; Metazoa; Platyhelminthes; Trematoda; Strigeidida; Schistosomatidae.
GGCAGCUGACGAGUCUUAAAUAGGACGAAACGCGCGUCCUGGAU